Molecule: ribosomal RNA, 253 nt
Filed under: uncultured bacterium
Lineage: Bacteria
Description: partial 16S ribosomal RNA
Rfam family: Bacterial small subunit ribosomal RNA
Source: RNAcentral
UACGGAGGGUGCAAGCGUUAUCCGGAUUCACUGGGUUUAAAGGGUGCGUAGGAGGGCAGGUAAGUCAGUGGUGAAAUCUCCAAGCUUAACUUGGGAAUUGCGCUCGAAACUACUUUGCUGGAGUGUGGCAGAGGAAGGUGGAAUUCCACGUGUAGCGGUGAAAUGCGUAGAGAUGUGGAGGAACACCAAUGGCGAAGGCAGCCUUCUGGGCCAACACUGACGCUCAUGCACGAAAGCGUGGGGAGCAAACAGG